GGGGAGAUGGCCGAGCUUGGUUAUGGCGUCAGGUUAAGGUCCUGAUGGGAGUAAUCCCGCGUGGGUUCGAAUCCCACUCUCCUCA
Molecule: transfer RNA, 85 nt
Filed under: Phialophora macrospora
Lineage: Eukaryota; Fungi; Ascomycota; Eurotiomycetes; Chaetothyriales; Herpotrichiellaceae
Description: tRNA-Leu (AAG) (tRNA-Leu-AAG-1-1)
Rfam family: tRNA
About the family: Transfer RNA (tRNA) molecules are approximately 80 nucleotides in length. Their secondary structure includes four short double-helical elements and three loops (D, anti-codon, and T loops).
Source: RNAcentral